Long non-coding RNA from Schistocerca gregaria, 101 nucleotides. RefSeq lists it as uncharacterized. The record is from RefSeq and is a predicted model, not a curated record. The transcript is spliced from 3 exons. Lineage: Eukaryota; Metazoa; Arthropoda; Insecta; Orthoptera; Acrididae.
CUUGCGUUAAAGUAAGAAAAGUCGCUAUAGAGCAAAAGUGAUCAUGAUUCACAGGUGUUACAUAAAUCGCAGGUUUAGACAACGUACAUAGAUUCAAUAAU